This 468-nucleotide ribosomal RNA is filed under the name uncultured bacterium. RNAcentral's name for it is "partial 16S ribosomal RNA". It matches the Rfam family "Bacterial small subunit ribosomal RNA", at positions 28 to 507 of the family's 1533-position model. The record is from RNAcentral.
GACGAACGCUGGCGGCGUGCUUAACACAUGCAAGUCGAACGGAAAGGCCCUGCUUUUGUGGGGUGCUCGAGUGGCGAACGGGUGAGUAACACGUGAGUAACCUGCCCUUGACUUUGGGAUAACUUCAGGAAACUGGGGCUAAUACCGGAUAGGAGCUCCUGCUGCAUGGUGGGGGUUGGAAAGUUUCGGCGGUUGGGGAUGUACUCGCGGCUUAUCAGCUUGUUGGUGGGGUAGUGGCUUACCAAGGCUUUGACGGGUAGCCGGCCUGAGAGGGUGACCGGCCACAUUGGGACUGAGAUACGGACCAGAAUCCUACGGGAGGCAGCAGUGGGGAAUAUUGCAGAAUGGGCGGAAGCCUGAUGCAGCAACGCCGCGUGCGGGAUGACGGCCUUCGGGUUGUAAACCGCUUUCGACUGUGACGAAGCGUGAGUGACGGUAAUGGGUAAAGAAGCACCGGCUAACUACGUG